RNAcentral lists this long non-coding RNA (632 nucleotides) under Rattus norvegicus (Norway rat). RNAcentral's name for it is "long non-coding RNA NONRATT017183". Lineage: Eukaryota; Metazoa; Chordata; Mammalia; Rodentia; Muridae. The record is from RNAcentral.
GAGUUGAGACCCGGAGGGUCUGGAGUGCGCCGCGAGGGGGCGUGGUCGAGCGGGAAGGUCCGGGUGGUGGGCGUGGUCUUUUAUCGAAUGGGUGGGGCCUGCUAUACAGUCUACCAAACGAAGCUUGGACAAGGCGGCGGGUGGAAGAGUUAGUGUGUCAAUGACAAGAAGUUACAAUACCAGAGGCGCACACCCGCUGCAGAGGAGUUUAUGGCUCGCGUAUCCCAGUGGGCCGGGCGUAUUCGUGCGGCCGGGCGGGGUCUCGUUUGCAGCACUAAUGCUUGGCCUUGCCAAACAGAGCCGGAGAGAAAACCGGAAAAAGCGCAGGAUUCGCCUCCAAGGGUGACUGAAGUCCCAGGCUCCAGGGAAACCGGUAUUCCAUCCCUAGCAACCUCUGAAUCUCUACAUUUCUCCUCGGUAACAAAGGUCUCGGACUCCCUGGCAACCGAGCCCUCACCUGCGGUAGAAACAAAGGCCCCACCUUCCUUAGCAACCGAAGGCCCCUCCUCCAUGGCAACAGAGGCUCAGUCUUUUCUAACUGAGGUCCCCUCGGUUUCUGCAACGCACAUCCAGCCUUCACUGGAUGAAGGGCCAGUUAACUUCCUCACAUCAACACACAUCCCUGUCCCCAA